Molecule: ribosomal RNA, 389 nt
Filed under: uncultured bacterium
Lineage: Bacteria
Description: bacterial SSU rRNA
Rfam family: Bacterial small subunit ribosomal RNA
Source: RNAcentral
ACGGAAUAGAUACCCUGGUAGUCCACGCGGUAAACGAUGAAUACUAGCCGAUGGGGUGUUAAAGCCUUAGUGGCGCAGCUAAACGCGAUAAGUAUUCCGCCUGGGAAGUACGGCCGCAAGGUUAAAACUCAAAGGAAUUGACGGGGGCCCGGCACAAGCGGUGGAGUAUGUGGUUUAAUUCGAUGCAACGCGAAGAACCUUACCUACUCUUGACAUGGUGGGAAUGGCGUAGAGAUAUGCCAGUGCCGAAAGGAACCCACACACAGGUGCUGCAUGGCUGUCGUCAGCUCGUGUCGUGAGAUGUUGUCUUAAGUGACGCAACGAGCGCAACCCUUGCCUCUAGUUACCAUCAUUCAGUUGGGGACUCUAGAGGGACUGCUAGCCUAUGG